CCUACGGGAGGCUGCAGUGGGGAAUAUUGCACAAUGGGGGAAACCCUGAUGCAGCGACGCCGCGUGAGUGAAGAAGUAAUUCGUUAUGUAAAGCUCUAUCAGCAGGGAAGAAAAUGACGGUACCUGAGUAAGAAGCCCCGGCUAACUACGUGCCAGCAGCCGCGGUAAUACGUAGGGGGCAAGCGUUAUCCGGAUUUACUGGGAGUAACGGGAGCGUAGACGGCAGUGCAAGUCUGGAGUGAAAGGCGGGGGCUCAACCCCCGGACUGCUCGGGAAACUGGACGGCUGGAGUGCAGGAGAGGGAAGUAGAAUUCCGGGUGUAGCGGUGAAAUGCGUAGAGAUUAGGAGGAACACCAGUGGCGAAGGCGGCUUACUGGACUGUAACUGACGUUGAGGCGCGAAAGCGUGGGGAGCAAACAGGAUUAGAUACCCUUGUAGUC
RNAcentral lists this ribosomal RNA (440 nucleotides) under uncultured bacterium. RNAcentral describes it as "partial 16S ribosomal RNA". It matches the Rfam family "Bacterial small subunit ribosomal RNA", at positions 338 to 795 of the family's 1533-position model. The record is from RNAcentral.